CAAGCACUUCAUUGCCGUUGAUUCAUCAACCUCGGUGCCAGCAUUGGUCCCAGUUUCCUUGGGCUGAGCUAAGGGCCUGCUUGGAGCAAUUGUAGCUCGUGCCAUAGCUUCCUCAGGCUGAGAUGAUGGCCUACUUGCUGUAGUAGUAGCAUGUGCCACAGUUUCCUUUUUGGCUGGUGGAGUAGCAUAUACCGGGAUAGCCUGCCUAAUACAGACAGGUGGUGCAACUCGAACUGAACGGGCCUGCAUCAUUUGAGUUG
This 260-nucleotide unclassified non-coding RNA is filed under the name Hevea brasiliensis (rubber tree). Lineage: Eukaryota; Viridiplantae; Streptophyta; Magnoliopsida; Malpighiales; Euphorbiaceae. The record is from RNAcentral.